UGCAGAGGUCCCAAGCGUUGUUCGGAUUCACUGGGCGUAAAGGGUGCGUAGGCGGUCGGGUAAGUCUGACGUGAAAUCUCCAAGCCUAACUUGGAAACUGCGUUGGAUACUAUCCGGCUUGAGGAAUGGAGGGGAGACUGGAAUACUUGGUGUAGCAGUGAAAUGCGUAGAUAUCAAGUGGAACACCAGUGGCGAAGGCGAGUCUCUGGACAUUUCCUGACGCUGAGGCACGAAAGCCAGGGGAGCAAACGGG
Molecule: ribosomal RNA, 253 nt
Filed under: uncultured bacterium
Lineage: Bacteria
Description: partial 16S ribosomal RNA
Rfam family: Bacterial small subunit ribosomal RNA
Source: RNAcentral